Molecule: transfer RNA, 69 nt
Filed under: Nitrososphaeria archaeon
Lineage: Archaea; Thermoproteati; Nitrososphaerota; Nitrososphaeria
Description: tRNA-Trp
Rfam family: tRNA
About the family: Transfer RNA (tRNA) molecules are approximately 80 nucleotides in length.
Source: RNAcentral
UAUCGUCCAGCAAGGGAGGACAACGGGCUCCAGACCCGUAAGCCGUGGGUUCAAGUCCCACUAGCCCCA